RNAcentral lists this unclassified non-coding RNA (496 nucleotides) under Hevea brasiliensis (rubber tree). The record is from RNAcentral. Lineage: Eukaryota; Viridiplantae; Streptophyta; Magnoliopsida; Malpighiales; Euphorbiaceae.
CGCUGAAGCUUGGGCUGCCUCCAUUACCUUUUCUAUAACAAACUGGCCCAAUAUAAGCACUUCAAGGAUCUUUCUCCAGUCCCAUGUUAUCUUUACAAGGACACUAAUUGCAAAUAAUCCGAAGACAGCACCGGAAGCUCCUACAGAAACUGCAUUUCUUGGUAAGACUAACCAUGAAACAAGGUUUGCUCCAACACCAGUGAGAAUAUAAGAAAGCCACAAUGCAAAAUUUCCCUCCUCUUCUUCAACAAGUUUCCCAAAAAUGUACAAGAAAAAAAGGUUGCUUGAAAGAUGUUCCCAGCUAGCGUGGCAGAAUGUUGCUGUGACAAACUGGUACCAAGCAGGCCAAUUGUGAUACAAGUACAGAGAUUUGAUGCCACGGACCUGAAAAAAGUGAUCUGCAACAUAUAUUCCAAGAUUGAGAAGUAUAAUCCAGAAGACGCCAUUUGCACGUUUCUCUGGUUUUCUUCUCUCUUCUGGCUUGUCAAGUUCGAGC